RNAcentral lists this ribosomal RNA (254 nucleotides) under uncultured bacterium. RNAcentral's name for it is "partial 16S ribosomal RNA". It matches the Rfam family "Bacterial small subunit ribosomal RNA", at positions 524 to 776 of the family's 1533-position model. The record is from RNAcentral.
UACGUAGGGACCAAGCGUUGUUCGGAUUUACUGGGCGUAAAGGGCGCGUAGGCGGCAAUUCAAGUCAUCUGUGAAAUCUCCGGGCUUAACCCGGAACGGUCAGAUGAUACUGCUUUGCUAGAGUGCGGAAGGGGCAAUCGGAAUUCUUGGUUUAGCGGUGAAAUGCGUAGAUAUCAAGAGGAACACCUGAGGUGAAGACGGGUUGCUGGGCCGACACUGACGCUGAUAGCGCGAAAGCCAGGGGAGCAAACGGG